AUACGGAGGGUGCAAGCGUUAAUCGGAAUUACUGGGCGUAAAGCGCUCGUAGGCGGCUUGUUAAGUCGGAUGUGAAAGCCCUGGGCUCAACCUGGGAACUGCAUUCGAUACUGUCAGGCUAGAGUAUAGUAGAGGGAAGUGGAAUUCCGGGUGUAGCGGUGAAAUGCGUAGAUAUCCGGAGGAACACCAGUGGCGAAGGCGGCUUCCUGGACUAAUACUGACACUGAGGUACGAAAGCGUGGGGAGCAAACAGGAUUAGAAACCCCGGUAGUCC
RNAcentral lists this ribosomal RNA (274 nucleotides) under uncultured bacterium. RNAcentral's name for it is "partial 16S ribosomal RNA". It matches the Rfam family "Bacterial small subunit ribosomal RNA", at positions 523 to 796 of the family's 1533-position model. The record is from RNAcentral.